RNAcentral lists this ribosomal RNA (315 nucleotides) under uncultured eukaryote. Its description in RNAcentral is "partial 18S ribosomal RNA". It matches the Rfam family "Eukaryotic small subunit ribosomal RNA", at positions 1470 to 1796 of the family's 1831-position model. The record is from RNAcentral.
CCCUUAGACGUUCUGGGCCGCACGCGCGCUACACGGACCAGUGCAACAAGCAUCCGUCCUUGGCCGACAGGCUCGGGCAAUCUUUGAACGCUGGUCGUGAUGGGGAUAGACUUUUGCAAUUUUUGGUCUUCAACGAGGAAUUCCUAGUAAACGCAAGUCAUCAACUUGCAUUGAUUACGUCCCUGCCCUUUGUACACACCGCCCGUCGCACCUACCGAUUGAAUGGUCCGGUGAAGCCUCCGGAUUGGCGCGCACCUCGGUGCCGCCGAGAAGUUGGCUAAACCUUACCAUUUAGAGGAAGGUGAAGUCGUAACA